This 776-nucleotide ribosomal RNA is filed under the name Goniomonas pacifica. Its description in RNAcentral is "partial Bacterial small subunit ribosomal RNA". It matches the Rfam family "Bacterial small subunit ribosomal RNA", at positions 1 to 777 of the family's 1533-position model. Lineage: Eukaryota; Cryptophyceae; Goniomonadida; Goniomonadaceae. The record is from RNAcentral.
AUGAAGAGUUUGAUCCUGGCUCAGGAUGAACGCUAGCGGCAGGCCUAAUACAUGCAAGUCGAGGGGCAGCACGGUUUUCGGACUGGUGGCGACCGGCGCACGGGUGCGUAACGCGUAUGCAACUUACCUCUAACAGGAGGAUAGCCUUUCGAAAGGAAGAAUAAUACUCCAUAAUAUUUAUUAGUGGCAUCAUUAAUUUAUUAAAACUACGGUGGUUAGAGAUAGGCAUGCGUCCUAUUAGCUAGUUGGUGAGGUAACAGCUCACCAAGGCGAUGAUAGGUAGGGGGCCUGAGAGGGUUAUCCCCCACACUGGUACUGAGACACGGACCAGACUCCUACGGGAGGCAGCAGUGAGGAAUAUUGGACAAUGGGCGGGAGCCUGAUCCAGCCAUGCCGCGUGCAGGAUGACGGCCCUAUGGGUUGUAAACUGCUUUUAUACGGGAAGAAAUGCGCCCACGUGUGGGCGUCUGACGGUACCGUAAGAAUAAGGACCGGCUAACUCCGUGCCAGCAGCCGCGGUAAUACGGAGGGUGCAAGCGUUGUCCGGAAUCAUUGGGUGUAAAGGGUGCGUAGGCGGACUGCUAAGUCUGGGGUGAAAUCUUGCCGCUUAACGGUAAAAUGGCCUUGGAUACUGGCAGUCUUGAGUGUAGAAGAGGCAGGUGGAAUUCGUAGUGUAGCGGUGAAAUGCAUAGAUAUUACGAAGAACAUCAGUGGCGAAGGCGGCCUGCUGGUCUACAACUGACGCUGAGGCACGAAAGCGUGGGGAGCGAACAGGA